GGCAGUGGUAGCUCAGUGGUUAAGGCGUUGGACUACUGCUCAGGAGGUCGUGAGGUCAAACCUCAGCACUCCCA
Non-coding RNA from Ameiurus melas (black bullhead), 74 nucleotides. Lineage: Eukaryota; Metazoa; Chordata; Actinopteri; Siluriformes; Ictaluridae. The record is from the annotation of a GenBank genome assembly.